This 491-nucleotide ribosomal RNA is filed under the name uncultured bacterium. RNAcentral's name for it is "partial 16S ribosomal RNA". It matches the Rfam family "Bacterial small subunit ribosomal RNA", at positions 29 to 506 of the family's 1533-position model. The record is from RNAcentral.
AGUGAACGCUGGCGGUAGGCCUAACACAUGCAAGUCGAACGGCAGCACAGUAAGAGCUUGCUCUUACGGGUGGCGAGUGGCGGACGGGUGAGGAAUACAUCGGAAUCUACUUUUUCGUGGGGGAUAACGUAGGGAAACUUACGCUAAUACCGCAUACGACCUGCGGGUGAAAGCAGGGGAUCUUCGGACCUUGCGCGAUUGAAUGAGCCGAUGUCGGAUUAGCUAGUUGGCGGGGUAAAGGCCCACCAAGGCGACGAUCCGUAGCUGGUCUGAGAGGAUGAGAAGACAAAAGGGAACAGAGACACGGUCCAGACGCCUACGGGGGGCAGAAGGGGGGAAAAUGGGAAAAGGGGGGAAAGCCUGAUCCAACCAUACCGGGGGGGUGAAGAAGGCCUUGGGGUUGAAAAGCCCUUUUGUUGGGAAAGAAAAGUAGCAGGUUAAUACCCCGCUGUUCUGACGGUACCCAAAAAAAAAGCACCGGCUAACUUCGU